Pseudoliparis swirei is the source of this 298-nucleotide long non-coding RNA. RefSeq lists it as uncharacterized. The transcript has 3 exons. NCBI's taxonomy places the organism in Eukaryota, Metazoa, Chordata, Actinopteri, Perciformes, Liparidae. The record is from RefSeq and is a predicted model, not a curated record.
CAUCCCAUAAUGAAGGCACAACCAGACAUCCCAUAAUGAAGGCACAACCAGACAUCCCAUAAUGAAGGCACAACCAGACAUCCCAUAAUGAAGACACAACCAGACAUCCCAUAAUGAAGGCACAACCAGACAUCCCAUAAUGAAGGCACAACCAGACAUCCCAUAAUGAAGGUACAACCAGACAUCCCAUAAUGAAGGCACAACCAGACAUCCCAUAAUGAAGGUACAACCAGACAUCCCAUAAUGAAGGCACAACCAGACAUCCCAUAAUGAAGGCACAACCAGACAUCCCAUAAUG